RNAcentral lists this ribosomal RNA (253 nucleotides) under uncultured bacterium. RNAcentral's name for it is "partial 16S ribosomal RNA". It matches the Rfam family "Bacterial small subunit ribosomal RNA", at positions 524 to 776 of the family's 1533-position model. The record is from RNAcentral.
UACGGGGGGGGCAAGCGUUGUUCGGAAUUACUGGGCGUAAAGGGCUCGUAGGCGGCCAACUAAGUCAGACGUGAAAUCCCUCAGCUUAACUGGGGAACUGCGUCUGAUACUGGAUGGCUUGAGUUUGGGAGAGGGAUGCGGAAUUCCAGGUGUAGCGGUGAAAUGCGUAGAUAUCUGGAGGAACACCGGUGGCGAAGGCGGCAUCCUGGACCAGCACUGACACUGAGGAGCGAAAGCCAGGGGAGCAAACGGG